This is an RNA transcript of Pezoporus occidentalis (night parrot), 3192 nucleotides long. It is a transcript of the gene named epithelial stromal interaction 1, with no coding region annotated. The record is from RefSeq and is a predicted model, not a curated record. NCBI's taxonomy places the organism in Eukaryota, Metazoa, Chordata, Aves, Psittaciformes, Psittacidae. The transcript is spliced from 12 exons.
UGGGUGGGUCUUAAAAGGAAUUGAAACUAAAUUGUGAGAAGUCAGAAGUUUUGAGUCUUUCUCUAGCCUUAGCAGUGAUACUCCUUUCUGACAAGGCAAGGUACUCCUGAAGCAAUGUCUGGAAUUCGAGGCUGGAGGGAUGGCAUCAGGUACAGGAUGGCUGCUACCUCCAGUACCCCAGGAUCCUCUCAGGAUUACCUCUGGGAUAGCAACAACGAAAGAGAGGAGGCUGAAACCCCCCAGAAACCAACAACAUCUAAAAAGGAGCAAAGUGGCCAAGCAUCAGGCUACCAACAACAGCAAGAGCAGUAUGUCGGCCCUUAUGUCUUGAUAACUCCAAAUGAAACCAGAAGAAACCAGCUGCAGCAAAUUGCUAAGAAAGAGCUGGAUGACCUGCAGCGGUGGAAGGAAAAGCACAGGCAAAGGCCUAUUAACUUGGUUCCACAGAGACUGGGUGGAAAGCAAUCAGAAGCUCAAGUAAGGCAAAACCAGCAAAUGAUGCUCAUGCAAUCCAAAUACCAGCAAAAGCACAAGAGAAAAGAAUAUAUAAAAGCAAAAAAGGAAGCUGAAGAAACUGAAAUCCUGAAAAAGAAAGCACUGCAGAGAGAAAAGGCAGAGAGACUUGAAGUUAAGAAGAGGCAGCAAGAAAUGCAAAGAAGAGAGAUGUUCCUUGAAGAUCAACAUUACAAAACCAAUGAAUUAUUGAACAGAUUGGACGUGGGUUUGCCAAAGAGUGAUUCCUGUCAGAUUGCUAAUCAUGGUGCAGAAUCUACAGCGUGGAUGAGAAGCCGUAUGUAUAAGCAAGCUCUUCGAGAGGAUGAAACCAGAAGAUUAGAGGAAAUGAAGCAAGAACAACGGAGGAAGGCUGAAUUAAUGGAAAUUAAACAAAAGCAGGAAGAGGAAGACAGGAUGAGAGCACAUCAAGAUGAACAAAGAAGGGUAAAUAUUGCUUUCCUGGACCAACUCCAGAACAAAACACAACUUACUAACAUCCACCAGCCUGAACAUUCUGGGAGCCUGGACUAAUGCAGUAACAGUGACUGGGAGCCCAAACUACUUGGAAUAAAGGAGGAGAAAGGAGACAACAUUUUAAUGAUUUCCAAAAUCAGAUGCAUGACCAAGAUAUUUCUAAUGGAAAUGAAGGAUCCACACAACAUGUUACAUAAACCAUGCAGAUGAGAUUAGUUGCAGCAUUUAUAAGUAUAUCUUAGGCAAAGUUAAAGGUUUUCUGAGCAGUUUUUUUUCAGUGUGCAGGCAUGACACAAUGUUUUUCCAUAACACUUGCAAUAUGGAAACUUUAUGAUUGAUCACAUGAAAUUUUCUUUUGAACCAUGAUUAUUGCUAUGUUUCCUUUUGCCUCUGGAACUUUCUGCAGUUGCCCUGAGCUCUUUUUCCCCUCAAAGAAUUGGUCAAAUCAUUUAUUCUAUUAGCUAGCUGAUGUUAAUAGGAAAUACUGGAUAUCUUGGUAAUGCUCUGUGGUUUACCCAUUUUUAGAGUAUCUGACACUUGGAAAAAUCUAUGGGGAGACUUUUACAUACCUAUGCAAUGGCACUGUAUUGCAGGUGGUACUUGGCUGUGCUAGCGGACUGCUGCUUUGGAAAUGAAAUUCACAUCUCCCUCCAAGGACUCUCUCACCCAGCUUCCUUCAGUAGUUAUCAGGGCUGGGCUAAACAUCUGCAGAGUGGGAUAUAUGUACAUGCACACACAUAUAUUUUAAAGGAAAUUUCUUUGCUUUAAUCAGAUCCUUGUGUUGUAUUCUAAUGAGACUGACUUGUAGGUUGUCUUUUUGAAGCAGAGAACCUGCAGCCUGUCUGCACUUGAUGUACGAUAACCCUAGACCCUGCUAACAAAGGCUGAGUGGGAGGGAAGGUCACAAUGGUCACUGACAAGUUAAAAUUCAGUGUGAUCAUGUUGCUGCUUCUAUAUAAAAAAACAAACAACAAAACAAAAACAAAGAAAAAAAACAAAAAACCAAAACAAAAAAAAAACACUUAAAAACCAAAACCCAACUUUCUGUUAAUCUGCUACUUCCACAUUCAGGAACAGUAAUGGCAAGUCACCCUGAGUAACCUCUUCCAUUAAGCUUGUCUACUUUCAUCUAGUUGUCUUCAAAGAUGAAGCUUGAUCAUAAUCUUCAAAGUGCUUCCACUUAUCCAGCAUUUCAAUCUGUUAUUUGAAAUGCUCUCUACAAACUAUUUCAGACAUUAACUAUUCCAGCCCUUUUUAACGGCAAAGUAUCUGAAUUUUUCCUUUCCUAUCUUUCUGAACAGAACAAACAAAUCUAUAUGAACAGUGGCCCAGGAAGUGUGUUUAAGAGCCAAGGCCUGCAACAGAGAUGAUAAGAAGUUAUAGCAUCCACAAAUUGAUGUUAGCAGGAUGUCUGGGAAAUGCUGUUCUUAUCCUGUUGGAAAGCUUCCAGUAUCUCAGAAUUACCACUUCCCCACACACACAUCCUGCAAAAAUUUAAGCUUGAAGGCUUGACAUCUCUUUAAAGGGGCUAUAAUGAAAUGAAUUGGUGAUAGACUGGGGAAAUGGCUUCAUGGCUAUCAAAACUUAGGAACCAAUAUUUCAGUAUGUUUGCUAUCUACCUGUUAGAGUAAAACUUUGACAAAGGUUUUCAAAUAAAAUGAGUUCCUCUAGUUAUAAUUUACACCAACCAAAAUAAUUACCUAGUAUGCAGUGGCAUAAAACCAGAUGUUCUUACUAUAUAACAGUAAAUGGAGGGGUUUUUAUUGUUUUGAAAAUUGUUGUUUUCUCAAUGUAAUCUGCACUGAUGAUCUCCUUGCUAUUUCAGAAACAAACCUUCCAACAGAGAGUGGUAUGGGGCUGGAAGUUACGAAAGGAAACCCCUUUGCUUUUUCAUUGCGGAGACAAAAUUGUUUUAACAAACUGACUAAAGCAUUAUAAUCAGCUAUUCUGAAUUCCAAUCUAAAUUGACAGCAAGAUUCCUACGUUUAGAUUUCGUAGUCUGCCUAAAUCAGAAACUACCUCCCUAUGAAGAAAUGCAAUAUUCAUGUAGGGACUUACAGGAUUGAUUCUCUAUUAUGUAUCUAAAAGUUUCAAUGGCUUAACUGUCCCUGCUUUUAAAAAUAUCUGCCUGACUCCUAGUUCAAACUUGACAAUUUUCAGGUAGCUUUUACUGAAUUUUCUUAACCACUUACCUGGUAAAUUAAAAAGUUUUAUGCACUUGGA